This 492-nucleotide ribosomal RNA is filed under the name uncultured bacterium. RNAcentral describes it as "partial 16S ribosomal RNA". It matches the Rfam family "Bacterial small subunit ribosomal RNA", at positions 29 to 507 of the family's 1533-position model. The record is from RNAcentral.
AGUGAACGCUGGCGGUGGGCCUAACACAUGCAAGUCGAACGGCAGCACAGUAAGAGCUUGCUGUUACGGGGGGCGAGUGGGGGGCGGGUGAGGAAUACAUCGGAAUCUACUUUUUCGUGUGGGUUAACGUAGGGAAACUUACGCUAAUACCGCAUACGACCUAGGGGUGAAAGCAUGGGAUCUUUGGACCUUGUGCGAUUGAAUGAGCCGAUGUCGGAUUAGCUAGUUGGCUGGGUUAAGGCCCACCAAGGCGACGAUCCGUAGCUGGUCUGAGAGGAUGAUCAGCCACACUGGAACUGAGACACGGUCCAGACUCCUACGGGACGCCCCAGUCGGGAAUAUUGGACAGUAGGGGCAAGUCUGAUCCAGCCAGACCACGUGUGUGAAGGAGACCUUCGGGUUGUAAAGCCGUCUUGUUGGGAAAGAAACGCAGCAGCUUAAUACGCCGCUGUUCUGACGGUACCCAAAGAAUAAGCACCGGCUAACUUCGUG